CCCAGCAAUAGGCAGCUGCAAAGGUUGCCUUGUACCUAGGCAAGUGUUCUACUGCUGGGAGAAAAGCAGCUAUGGCUUGUGAGCAUU
This is a small nucleolar RNA of Ochotona princeps (American pika), 87 nucleotides long. Its record names the gene SNORA74. It matches the Rfam family "Small nucleolar RNA SNORA74". Rfam says of the family: U19 belongs to the H/ACA class of snoRNAs. snoRNAs bind a number of proteins (including dyskerin, Gar1p and Nop10p in the case of the H/ACA class) to form snoRNP complexes. This class are thought to guide the sites of modification of uridines to pseudouridines by forming direct base pairing interactions with substrate RNAs. Targets may include ribosomal and spliceosomal RNAs but the exact functions of many snoRNAs, including U19, are not confirmed. Lineage: Eukaryota; Metazoa; Chordata; Mammalia; Lagomorpha; Ochotonidae. The record is from Ensembl.